AGAUUGAACGCUGGCGGAAUGCUUUACACAUGCAAGUCGAACGGCAGCACGGGGGCAACCCUGGUGGCGAGUGGCGCACGGGUGAGUAAUACAUCGGAACGUAUCCUAGAGUGGGGGAUAGCCCGGCGAAAGCCGGAUUAAUACCGCAUACGCUCGAAAGAGGAAAGUGGGGGAUCGUAAGACCUCACGCCCAAGGAGCGGCCGAUGCCGGAUUAGCUUGUUGGUGAGGUAAAAGCUCACCAAGGCGACGAUCCGUAGCUGGUCUGAGAGGACGACCAGCCACACUGGGACUGAGACACGGCCCAGACUCCUACGGGAGGCAGCAGUGGGGAAUUUUGGACAAUGGGGGAAACCUGAUCCAGCCAUUCCGCGUGAGUGAACGAAGGCCUUGGUUC
RNAcentral lists this ribosomal RNA (395 nucleotides) under uncultured soil bacterium. RNAcentral's name for it is "bacterial SSU rRNA". It matches the Rfam family "Bacterial small subunit ribosomal RNA", at positions 26 to 424 of the family's 1533-position model. The record is from RNAcentral.